GACCAAAGGGGGCGAGCGUAAGCAGCUCUCACCGAAGGAGGAGCCUGCGUCCGAUUAGCUAGUUGGUGGGGUAAUGGCCUACCAAGGCGACGAUCGGUAGCCGGCCUGAGAGGGCGAUCGGCCACACUGGAACUGAGACACGGUCCAGACUCCCACGGGAGGCAGCAGUGGGGAAUAUUGCGCAAUGGGCGAAAGCCUGACGCAGCGACGCCGCGUGGGUGAUGAAGGCCUUCGGGUCGUAAAGCCCUGUCUGGUGGAACGAAAUGCCUGGCGGCCAAUACCCGCUGGGUUUGACGGUACCACCGAAGGAAGCCCCGGCUAGCUACGUGCCAGCAGCCGCGGUAAGACGUAGGGGGCGAGCGUUGUUCGGAUUUACUGGGCGUAAAGCGCGCGUAGGCGGCCAGAUAAGUCGGGUGUGAAAGCCCUCGGCUCAACCGAGGUUCCGCAUCCGAUACUGCUUGGCUGGAGUCUAGGAGAGGAGAGCGGAAUUCCCAGUGUAGCGGUGAAAUGCGUAGAUAUUGGGAGGAACACCCGUGGCGAAGGCGGCUCUCUGGACUAGUACUGACGCUGAGGCGCGAAAGCUAGGGGAGCGAACGGGAUUAGAUACCCCGGUAGUCCUAGCCGUAAACGAUGGGCACUAGGUGUGGGAGGUAUUGACCCCUUCCGCGCCGAAGCUAACGCAUUAAGUGCCCCGCCUGGGGAGUACGGCCGCAAGGCUAAAACUCAAAGGAAUUGACGGGGGCCCGCACAAGCGGUGGAGCAUGUGGUUCAAUUCGACGCAACGCGAAGAACCUUACCAGGGCUUGACAUCCCACGAACCUGCCUGAAAGGGCGGGGUGCCCGCAAGGGAGCGCGGAGA
This 859-nucleotide ribosomal RNA is filed under the name uncultured Methylomirabilota bacterium. Its description in RNAcentral is "bacterial SSU rRNA". It matches the Rfam family "Bacterial small subunit ribosomal RNA", at positions 199 to 1034 of the family's 1533-position model. Lineage: Bacteria; Methylomirabilota (SeqCode). The record is from RNAcentral.